RNAcentral lists this long non-coding RNA (344 nucleotides) under Nicotiana tabacum (common tobacco). RNAcentral's name for it is "long non-coding RNA (NTAB_LNC012871)". Lineage: Eukaryota; Viridiplantae; Streptophyta; Magnoliopsida; Solanales; Solanaceae. The record is from RNAcentral.
AAUUCAGUUUAGGGUUUAAAACCCUAUUGCUAACUAAAAGAAAAAGUUCAGUUUAGAGUUUAAAAUCCUAAUGCUGACUGAAGGAAAGAGUUCAGUUUAGGGUUUAAAUCCCUAAUGCUGACUGAAGGAAAGAGUUCAGUUUAGAGUUUAAAACCCUAAUGCUGACUAAAGGAAAAAGUUCAGUUUAGGAUUUAAAACCCUAAUGUUGACUGAAUGGAAAAAGUUCAGUUUAGGGUUUAAAACCCUAAUGCUGACUGAAGGAAAGAGUUUAGUUUAGGGUUUAAAACCCUAAAACUGACUAAAGGAAAGAGUUCAGUUUAGGGUUUAACACCCUAAUGCUGACU